CCCUUAGAUGUUCUGGGCCGCACGCACGCUACACUGAUGCAUUCAACGAGUCUAAAACCUGCUCUGAUAGGGGUGGGUAAUCUUUUGAAUGUGCAUCGUGAUUGGGAUAGAUGAUUGCAAUUUUUCAUCUUCAACGAGGAAUGCCUAGUAAACGCAAGUCAUCAGCUUGCAUUGAUUACGUCCCUGCCCUUUGUACACACCGCCCGUCGCUCCUACCGAUUGAAUGAUCCGAUGAAUAUCAUGGAUUGAGGAUGUAAGCAGGUUCGCCUGUCUUCAUCUUCGAGAAGUGAAGUAAAUCUUAUCAUUUAGAGGAAGGAGAAGUCGUAACA
This 329-nucleotide ribosomal RNA is filed under the name uncultured eukaryote. RNAcentral's name for it is "partial 18S ribosomal RNA". It matches the Rfam family "Eukaryotic small subunit ribosomal RNA", at positions 1470 to 1796 of the family's 1831-position model. The record is from RNAcentral.